AUUGAACGCUGGCGGCAGGCCUAACACAUGCAAGUCGAACGAGUGGCGGACGGGUGAGUAAUGUCUGGGAAACUGCCUGAUGGAGGGGGAUAACUACUGGAAAAGGUAGCUAAUACCGCAUACCAUCAGAUGUGCCCAGAUGGGAGUAGCUAGUUGGUGGGGUAACGGCGCACCAAGGCGACGAUCCCUAGCUGGUCUGAGAGGAUGACCAGCCACACUGUAACUGGGACACGGUCCAGCCUCCUACGGGAGGCCGCAGUGGGGAAUAUUGCACUGUGGGCGCAAGCCUGAUGCAGCCAUGCCGCGUGUAUGAAGAAUGCCUUCGGGUUGUAAAGUACUUUCAGCGGGGAGGCGUUACCCGCAGAAGAAGCACCGGCUAACUCCGUGCCAGCAGCCGCGGUAAUAC
Molecule: ribosomal RNA, 406 nt
Filed under: uncultured bacterium
Lineage: Bacteria
Description: partial 16S ribosomal RNA
Rfam family: Bacterial small subunit ribosomal RNA
Source: RNAcentral